RNAcentral lists this non-coding RNA (255 nucleotides) under Natranaerobius thermophilus. Its description in RNAcentral is "T-box sequence". It matches the Rfam family "T-box leader". Rfam says of the family: Uncharged tRNA acts as the effector for transcription antitermination of genes in the T-box leader family. T-boxes are found upstream of many aminoacyl-tRNA synthetase genes and some amino acid biosynthetic genes usually in Gram-positive bacteria. The anticodon of a specific tRNA base pairs to a specifier sequence within the T-box motif, and the NCCA acceptor tail of the tRNA base pairs to a conserved bulge in the T-box antiterminator hairpin. The record is from RNAcentral. Lineage: Bacteria; Bacillati; Bacillota; Clostridia; Natranaerobiales; Natranaerobiaceae.
CUAAAAUCAAUGAAGGGGAACAGUAGACCUUAACUUAAACCAGAGAACCGGGGCAGCUGGAAACCGGUAACUUUAUGGUCGAAUUACACCCUGGAGAUGCAAUUUUGAAACUUGUCAUUAUUAUCCGGGCAGGAAGUAAAUUUUGCCGCCUUAGGCGUUAAUUUAUACAAGUGACUUCACAUAUAAUUUACUGUGAUUUAUAGUUGUAAAUUUUGUGAAGUAACUCAGGUGGUACCGCGAACCUUCGUCCUGUGU